This 79-nucleotide transfer RNA is filed under the name Blattabacterium sp. DPU. RNAcentral describes it as "tRNA-Met". It matches the Rfam family "tRNA". From Rfam's summary of the family: Transfer RNA (tRNA) molecules are approximately 80 nucleotides in length. Their secondary structure includes four short double-helical elements and three loops (D, anti-codon, and T loops). Lineage: Bacteria; Pseudomonadati; Bacteroidota; Flavobacteriia; Flavobacteriales; Blattabacteriaceae. The record is from RNAcentral.
GGCGUGAUAGCUCAGUUGGUUUUAGAGCGUUGGAUUCAUAACCCAGAGGUCGGGGGUUCAAAUCCCCCUCACGCUACCA